This 302-nucleotide signal recognition particle RNA is filed under the name Orchesella cincta. RNAcentral's name for it is "Metazoan signal recognition particle RNA". It matches the Rfam family "Metazoan signal recognition particle RNA". From Rfam's summary of the family: The signal recognition particle (SRP) is a universally conserved ribonucleoprotein. It is involved in the co-translational targeting of proteins to membranes. The eukaryotic SRP consists of a 300-nucleotide 7S RNA and six proteins: SRPs 72, 68, 54, 19, 14, and 9. Lineage: Eukaryota; Metazoa; Arthropoda; Collembola; Entomobryomorpha; Orchesellidae. The record is from Rfam by way of RNAcentral.
ACUGGGAGUCGUGGCCGUACUCCUGUAAUGCCAGCUUCUCGGCAGGUUGGAAUGUGUGGAUGGUUUGAGCUGGGGAGCUCUGGUGAUUGGGGUGAUUACGUUGAUCUGGUAUCUCACUUAAGCUGGGCGUCAAUAUGGGCUCAGGGGCGGAGGCCCCAGUGUCCAGGUUAGCUAAGGAGAGAUGAACGAGCGAGGCGGGUAACGAGCAGCUAAAAAUCUCCGCGUCCAUUGCAGUAAGGAGACUGUACCGGAGAGUAUCCUCCUUCCACCAGCCUCGGCAACAUAGCCGGACCACAUUCCUA